Molecule: unclassified non-coding RNA, 309 nt
Filed under: Hevea brasiliensis (rubber tree)
Lineage: Eukaryota; Viridiplantae; Streptophyta; Magnoliopsida; Malpighiales; Euphorbiaceae
Source: RNAcentral
AAGAAGAAGAAGAAGAAAGAGGGGGUCGAGGCAAGGAGGCACAAUCUGGUCUCUGAAUCUAUGUCAUUGAGCAUGCGGGUUUUCAUUUUCGACCUUAAGCCGAUGCAUGUGAAUCUUCCAAAGAGAAUCUAUGGAAGAUUUGGACAAAGGGAGAGAGGGCAAGAUAGAGAGGGUGAGCGUGACUGUAUGAGAAGAGAAUGAAGAUGGAAGAGAAUAGAAAUAAAGAUAGCUUGAGUCAAGGGAGGAGGGAUGGAUAGAUUCUAAAAGAGUGAGGGUAAGGCUUGAGAAGAGAAUGUAGAUGGCAGAGAU